RNAcentral lists this ribosomal RNA (595 nucleotides) under Colletotrichum fructicola. Its description in RNAcentral is "eukaryotic LSU rRNA". The stretch from base 231 to 384 matches the Rfam family "5.8S ribosomal RNA". Lineage: Eukaryota; Fungi; Ascomycota; Sordariomycetes; Glomerellales; Glomerellaceae. The record is from RNAcentral.
UAGAGGAAGUAAAAGUCGUAACAAGGUCUCCGUUGGUGAACCAGCGGAGGGAUCAUUACUGAGUUUACGCUCUAUAACCCUUUGUGAACAUACCUAUAACUGUUGCUUCGGCGGGUAGGGUCUCCGCGACCCUCCCGGCCUCCCGCCUCCGGGCGGGUCGGCGCCCGCCGGAGGAUAACCAAACUCUGAUUUAACGACGUUUCUUCUGAGUGGUACAAGCAAAUAAUCAAAACUUUUAACAACGGAUCUCUUGGUUCUGGCAUCGAUGAAGAACGCAGCGAAAUGCGAUAAGUAAUGUGAAUUGCAGAAUUCAGUGAAUCAUCGAAUCUUUGAACGCACAUUGCGCCCGCCAGCAUUCUGGCGGGCAUGCCUGUUCGAGCGUCAUUUCAACCCUCAAGCUCUGCUUGGUGUUGGGGCCCUACAGCUGAUGUAGGCCCUCAAAGGUAGUGGCGGACCCUCCCGGAGCCUCCUUUGCGUAGUAACUUUACGUCUCGCACUGGGAUCCGGAGGGACUCUUGCCGUAAAACCCCCCCAAUUUUCCAAAGGUUGACCUCGGAUCAGGUAGGAAUACCCGCUGAACUUAAGCAUAUCAAUA